Molecule: ribosomal RNA, 170 nt
Filed under: Phragmipedium wallisii
Lineage: Eukaryota; Viridiplantae; Streptophyta; Magnoliopsida; Asparagales; Orchidaceae
Description: 5.8S ribosomal RNA
Rfam family: 5.8S ribosomal RNA (bases 1-73)
Source: RNAcentral
GUGAACCAUCGAGUCUUUGAACGCAAGUUGCGCCCGAGGCCAUCAGGCUAAGGGCACGCCUGCCUGGGCGUUGCGUGCUGCAUCUCUCUCCCAUUGCUAAGGCUGAACAGGCAUACUGUUCGGCCGGCGCGGAUGAGUGUUUGGCCCCUUGUUCUUCGGUGCGAUGGGUC